GAUGAACGCUGGCGGCGUGCCUAAUACAUGCAAGUCGAGCGAACAGACGAGGAGUUUGCUCCUCUGACGUUAGCGGCGGACGGGUGAGUAACACGUGGAUAACCUACCUAUAAGACUGGGAUAACUUCGGGAAACCGGAGCUAAUACCGGAUAAUAUAUUGAACCGCAUGGUUCAAUAGUGAAAGACGGUUUUGCUGUCACUAAUAGAUGGAUCCGCGCCGCAUUAGCUAGUUGGUAAGGUAACGGCUUACCAAGGCAGCGAUGCGUAGCCGACCUGAGCGGGUGAUCGGCCACCCUGGAAGUGAGACACGGUCCAGACUCCUACGGGAGGCCGCAGUAGGGAAUCUUCCGCAAUGGGCGAAAGCCUGACGGAGCAACGCCGCGUGAGUGAUGAAGGUCUUCGGAUCGUAAAGCUCUGUUAUUAGGGAAGAACAAAUGUGUAAGUAACUAUGCACGUCUUGACGGUACCUAAUCAGAAAGCCACGGCUAACUACGUG
Molecule: ribosomal RNA, 497 nt
Filed under: uncultured bacterium
Lineage: Bacteria
Description: partial 16S ribosomal RNA
Rfam family: Bacterial small subunit ribosomal RNA
Source: RNAcentral